RNAcentral lists this ribosomal RNA (330 nucleotides) under Triticum aestivum (bread wheat). RNAcentral's name for it is "partial small subunit ribosomal RNA". The record is from RNAcentral. Lineage: Eukaryota; Viridiplantae; Streptophyta; Magnoliopsida; Poales; Poaceae.
AUGGGCCAUGGUCCGCGCGCCGUCACCUCGUCCUCCAGGCACCGACCUCUCCCUUUCUUCCGUUCUUCUUUUCCUGUGAUUCUGGGCAGAGCUCUCGGCAGAGCAAGUGCUGAUAACGUGUUGAAUGUAAAUGAGAAUGAAUCGAACUUCUAUCUUUCAUUGAUCAUCGGAUGGUAUUUAUACAAGGCUUUGCGUCUCUUGGCAAAGUCGGUUACAAGGAGAAGGCGCUUGUUCGGUGAUCACAGGCGUCUGUACAAUGAGAAGGCGUCCGUAUGGACACAUGCGUCCGUACGGGGCUUUGGGCAUACAAACCGUCUAUUACGGUUAUAA